UGCUGUGAUGAGUAAGCAAUAUUUCUGACACCUCUUGUACGAGGGGAGCGCUAUGCGCUUCCCGUUGAACGGAGACGCUUCAUUCUGAGCA
This 91-nucleotide small nucleolar RNA is filed under the name Marchantia polymorpha subsp. ruderalis. RNAcentral's name for it is "Small nucleolar RNA snoR1". It matches the Rfam family "Small nucleolar RNA snoR1". Rfam says of the family: snoR1 is a member of the C/D class of snoRNA which contain the C (UGAUGA) and D (CUGA) box motifs. Most of the members of the box C/D family function in directing site-specific 2'-O-methylation of substrate RNAs. Lineage: Eukaryota; Viridiplantae; Streptophyta; Marchantiopsida; Marchantiales; Marchantiaceae. The record is from Rfam by way of RNAcentral.